GGCUACCAUGCAGUCGAGGGGCAGCAUGGUCUUAGCUUGCUAAGGCCGAUGGCGACCGGCGCACGGGUGAGUAACACGUAUCCAACCUGCCGUCUACUCUUGGACAGCCUUCUGAAAGGAAGAUUAAUACAAGAUGGCAUCAUGAGUCCGCAUGUUCACAUGAUUAAAGGUAUUCCGGUAGACGAUGGGGAUGCGUUCCAUUAGAUAGUAGGCGGGGUAACGGCCCACCUAGUCUUCGAUGGAUAGGGGUUCUGAGAGGAAGGUCCCCCACAUUGGAACUGAGACACGGUCCAAACUCCUACGGGAGGCAGCAGUGAGGAAUAUUGGUCAAUGGGCGAGAGCCUGAACCAGCCAAGUAGCGUGAAGGAUGACUGCCCUAUGGGUUGUAAACUUCUUUUAUAAAGGAAUAAAGUCGGGUAUGNAUACCCGUUUGCAUGUACUUUAUGAAUAAAGAUCGGCUAACUCCGUGCCAGCAGCCGCGGUAAUACGGAGGAUCCGAGCGUUAUCCGGAUUUAUUGGGUUUAAAGGGAGCGUAGAUGGAUGUUUAAGUCAGUUGUGAAAGUUUGCGGCUCAACCGUAAAAUUGCAGUUGAUACUGGAUAUCUUGAGUGCAGUUGAGGCAGGCGGAAUUCGUGGUGUAGCGGUGAAAUGCUUAGAUAUCACGAAGAACUCCGAUUGCGAAGGCAGCCUGCUAAGCUGCAACUGACAUUGAGGCUCGAAAGUGUGGGUAUCAAACAGGAUUAGAUACCCUGGUAGUCCACACGGUAAACGAUGAAUACUCGCUGUUUGCGAUAUACGGCAAGCGGCCAAGCGAAAGCGUUAAGUAUUCCACCUGGGGAGUACGCCGGCAACGGUGAAACUCAAAGGAAUUGACGGGGGCCCGCACAAGCGGAGGAACAUGUGGUUUAAUUCGAUGAUACGCGAGGAACCUUACCCGGGCUUAAAUUGCAGAUGAAUUACGGUGAAAGCCGUAAGCCGCAAGGCAUCUGUGAAGGUGCUGCAUGGUUGUCGUCAGCUCGUGCCGUGAGGUGUCGGCUUAAGUGCCAUAACGAGCGCAACCCUUGUUGUCAGUUACUAACAGGUUCCGCUGAGGACUCUGACAAGACUGCCAUCGUAAGAUGUGAGGAAGGUGGGGAUGACGUCAAAUCAGCACGGCCCUUACGUCCGGGGCUACACACGUGUUACAAUGGGGGGUACAGAGGGCCGCUACCACGCGAGUGGAUGCCAAUCCCAAAAACCUCUCUCAGUUCGGACUGGAGUCUGCAACCCGACUCCACGAAGCUGGAUUCGCUAGUAAUCGCGCAUCAGCCACGGCGCGGUGAAUACGUUCCCGGGCCUUGUACACACCGCCCGUCAAGCCAUGGGAGCCGGGGGUACCUGAAGUGCGUAACCGCGAGAGCGCCCUAGG
This 1407-nucleotide ribosomal RNA is filed under the name bacterium NLAE-zl-P776. RNAcentral's name for it is "bacterial SSU rRNA". It matches the Rfam family "Bacterial small subunit ribosomal RNA". The record is from RNAcentral.